RNAcentral lists this ribosomal RNA (421 nucleotides) under uncultured Sphingobacteriales bacterium. RNAcentral describes it as "bacterial SSU rRNA". It matches the Rfam family "Bacterial small subunit ribosomal RNA", at positions 356 to 774 of the family's 1533-position model. Lineage: Bacteria; Pseudomonadati; Bacteroidota; Sphingobacteriia; Sphingobacteriales. The record is from RNAcentral.
AGGGAAUAUUGGACAAUGGACGCAAGUCUGAUCCAGCCAUCCCGCGUGAAGGAUUAAGGCCCUCUGGGUUGUAAACUUCUUUUCUUUGGAAAUAAAAAGCGGUAUUCAUAUCGCCUUGAAGGUACCAGGGGAAUAAGCACCGGCUAACUCCGUGCCAGCAGCCGCGGUAAUACGGAGGGUGCAAGCGUUAUCCGGAUUCACUGGGUUUAAAGGGUGCGUAGGUGGUCUGUUAAGUCAGCGGUGAAAGCCUGGAGCUCAACUCCAGAAUUGCCAUUGAUACUGAUGGACUUGAAUCAAGUUGAGGUGGAUGGAAUAUUACAUGUAGCGGUGAAAUGCUUAGAUAUGUAAUAGAACACCGAUUGCGAAGGCAGUUCACUAAGCUUGUAUUGACACUGAGGCACGAAAGCGUGGGGAUCAAACA